Long non-coding RNA from Triticum dicoccoides, 1219 nucleotides. RefSeq lists it as uncharacterized. NCBI's taxonomy places the organism in Eukaryota, Viridiplantae, Streptophyta, Magnoliopsida, Poales, Poaceae. The transcript has 2 exons. The record is from RefSeq and is a predicted model, not a curated record.
AGAUGGUCUCCACGAGAAGGUCUCCGAGCUCCUCGUCUCGUCGGGUGCAAUUCGAUUCACGUGAAUUUAAGGGGCGCGCCCAUCUGCACCCAGCUCCUUGAAGCAGAAUUCACUUGUCUAGCCUGACAGACCCUAAUGUAUAGGUUUGUGCUUUGCUAGCUGAAUUACUCCGUGCUUUCUGUGGAUGUUACUUCAAAGACUCAUCAAAUUUCCGCCUACGCCGCUCUAUGUCUGAGAAGUUGAAGCAAUUUUGCGUGGAAGUUUCGUUUCCCUUCGAUGUCCGAGAAGAGAGCUCCUAGGAAGUUCGUCCGCUCGGUGGACUGGAGCAAUAUCCAGAUCCAGUCACUGUCUCCGAUCAUCCUUAUAUCUCACUGCCUCUUCUGUUUUGUAGCAGUCACAUCAGUUCAUAUGUGCAUAUCAGAGGAAAUAUGCUUUCACCAGGCGUGUUGGACCCAGCAUACCAAGUUCCCAGGUUGCAAAUAUGAUCCUAGCUAGCCAUUAAUAUGAUGGUUCCACAUUUUCUUAGCAUGAGGACUCUGCUAAUCAGUGUAACAAAUAUGUUGUUGCGCUGCCUAAUUUGUGCUAAUUCUGAAAAUAUGUGCCCCUAAUCUCUGAUAAUAGUAUGCGCAGACCCAAAAUGUCGGAGUUCUUAAGGACAUGCAAGUACUUAUUCUGUGCUUUUCCUGCUGAAAUGCACUUUAGUAUAUCAAAAUGACACUUCAUGAGGUGUUUGAAUUUUCUACUCACAUUCAGAUCGAGGGGUAGCGCACCAACCAACUGGUGCAAGCUGUACACUGAUGGCAUCCAGUCUGCCCUUCCAGUCAAUUUAGUUACCAAUCCUGUUCGUCUGUCUUUUCUGUGAUCUGAUUCACACGACUUAUGAGGCACACCCAUCUAUGUGCCAGAUGUCUGAAUCAGGAGGGUCAGGAAGCAGAAUUCAGCUGUGUAACCUGACAAUGAUUUGCAGGAGAAGCGAUUGAUGUGGGCUUUCUGUUUCUAAGUUUGUCCGCUCGGUGGACUGGAGCGAUAUCCAAGUUAGUUGCAGCGUCCAAUCGUCCAUAUAUGUCAUCGUUCGGUCUGUUUUGUACCGUCAUAUUUCAUAUGUGCAUUGGAUAAAAUGUGCUUUCUGUACGCAUGUUUAGAGUGGACCGAGUCACAAAUCUCAUUUAUAUGGCCAUAGGUAGUGAUCAAUAAAAGGGCACUGGAAUUUAUCUUCUAA